UAUCGUAGACCAAAAGAGACCCAAAGAUGAAAUUAACUAGAAGUACAUGUGGUACCAAAGACUAGGCCAUAUUGGAGAAGAUAGGAUAAACAGACUGAAAAAAGAUAGGAUCUUUGGCUCUCUUAACUCAGAGUUGUAUCUGUUCAGUUCUGACCAUGCAACAGAAAUUGAUUUUUAAAAUUUUAAAAUCAUACAAAUCAAUAGCUUCAUCAAAUAAAACUAUCGAGCC
Molecule: long non-coding RNA, 229 nt
Filed under: Elaeis guineensis (African oil palm)
Lineage: Eukaryota; Viridiplantae; Streptophyta; Magnoliopsida; Arecales; Arecaceae
Description: long non-coding RNA (EGUI_LNC067919)
Source: RNAcentral